Long non-coding RNA from Amphiprion ocellaris (clown anemonefish), 387 nucleotides. Lineage: Eukaryota; Metazoa; Chordata; Actinopteri; Pomacentridae. The record is from Ensembl.
UCUUUGUCCAUGUCUGUUAGCAACUGGUGACCUUGAAAGGAGAAUACAGAACGUAGAAUGGAGUAUUAGUAAUAUCUUUGCAGUAGCAGUAGUAGGAGUAGAGCUGGUGAUAGAGCCCAAGCAGCCAGGGUGAUCUACGAGGUUCCCCACAUCGACUCUGAGGAGGCAGAGAUGGACAAACACAGCACCAGUUCUUCCAGAGGCUCCUCUCAGUGGUGUCAGGUACUUGUUUACGAAUCUGUGGAAUACUUUCAGCGUGCAGAGACCAAAGGAGAUGAAUGAGGAUCUGCCUUCAUCAUGCUUUCAUCAUGUAUAUAAUGUACAUUCAUCACUGACUUAUGUAGAUGUUUUUAUAUGAUUGUAAAUAUUUUAUAUUCUUCAAUAAAC